UACGUAGGUGGCAAGCGUUGUUCGGAAUUAUUGGGCGUAAAGGGCGCGUAGGCGGCUCGUUAAGUCGGCUGUGAAAGCCCGGGGCUCAACCCCGGAGGGUCGGCCGAUACUGGCGGGCUAGAGUACGGAAGAGGUAGCUGGAAUUCCCGGUGUAGCGGUGAAAUGCGUAGAUAUUGGGAGGAACACCAGUGGCGAAGGCGGCUCACUGGACCGGUACUGACGCUGAUGCGCGAAAGCGUGGGGAGCAAACGGG
This 253-nucleotide ribosomal RNA is filed under the name uncultured prokaryote. RNAcentral's name for it is "partial 16S ribosomal RNA". It matches the Rfam family "Bacterial small subunit ribosomal RNA", at positions 524 to 776 of the family's 1533-position model. The record is from RNAcentral.